RNAcentral lists this ribosomal RNA (253 nucleotides) under uncultured bacterium. RNAcentral's name for it is "partial 16S ribosomal RNA". It matches the Rfam family "Bacterial small subunit ribosomal RNA", at positions 524 to 776 of the family's 1533-position model. The record is from RNAcentral.
UACGGAGGGUGCAAGCGUUAAUCGGAAUUACUGGGCGUAAAGCGUGCGCAGGCGGUUUGUUAAGUCCGUUGUGAAAGCCCCGAGCUCAACUUGGGAAUUGCAGUGGAUACUGGCAGGCUGGAGUACGGCAGAGGGAGGUAGAAUUCCACGUGUAGCGGUGAAAUGCGUAGAUAUGUGGAGGAAUACCGAUGGCGAAGGCAGCCUCCUGGGCCAACACUGACGCUCAUGCACGAAAGCGUGGGGAGCAAACAGG